CUGCAAUGCAGUGCUGUAUCCCUCCUUCUGAUCUGCUCUCCUUUUGUAUGAUCUCCCUGAGUGUAAUCUGACAUCAUGGAAUUCGUCCGAAACAAGUUCAAUUCUGUUAUAAUUGAGAAUCAAAGACAUCAUCACGAGAUGCUUCGCUUGCAUGAGCCAGUUCUAAAACUAUUUGCAAAAGGCAAAGAGAGAAAUGUGCUUCAAGACACAGCAAUUGUGCAGGUUUAAGUAAAGUGAGGGCAGGAGACAAGAUCACAUGGGAUGGGACCUGACGGAUGAAGAUUUUGGUGAAGUCCAGUUCAACCAUACCUCUAUAUGGCAUAAAAGGUUAAUCUAAAGUUUCCAGGACUCGCCAG
Stegostoma tigrinum is the source of this 356-nucleotide long non-coding RNA. RefSeq lists it as uncharacterized. NCBI's taxonomy places the organism in Eukaryota, Metazoa, Chordata, Chondrichthyes, Orectolobiformes, Stegostomatidae. The record is from RefSeq and is a predicted model, not a curated record. The transcript has 3 exons.